GUGAACUUCCGUAGCGCCAAACUUAAGCAAUUUUGUUUUAAUCAUUUGUAAAUAUGGAAGUGACACCGUACGGGAGCACAUGUAAUUUAAAAUGAUACAUAUUGCAUUAAUUAACUUUGAUAGAGCUCAUUACAGCAGUACAGGGCGGGUCUUUCUAGAGUUUAGAAAGUCUAGAGUCUAGGAUAGUAAACGUAGCUGACUGGAGGUGUUUGUGCUUUGGGCACACAGGAAAGUCUGCCUUCAUCUGCAGCCGAGACCAGUGUUUUUCUAGCAGAUAAUAUAUACGUGCUGACAUGAUGGCCCAGGAGAAGCACGCAAAACUGAAACUGAAGAGAAAGAAAUGCCCUCCACAGGAGUCGAAAGCGGCACAUUCCGCUAGCAACCCGGACUUUGAAGGCUCGCCGAAAAGUUGCAACGAAGAACUGAAAACAUCCCGUCCAGACCGCGCACCGGCACCAAUGGACAUGUGGUGGUGGAACAAACCCGACCUCAGUGUGACUGAGAGUUUGUGGGCGGUCCUGUUGAAGUCUGCCUUCCCAGACCGCAGCCAGGGAGACUGGAUACAUGUGCCCGACCUCCCCUCGCUUGUGUCACAGCCGAGAUUUUCAGAACAAGGGCAUCCUGGAUUGAAGACCUGUGCUAGCUGUGGUGAAGAACAGACCCGUUUUCCAUCGAUUUCCAAAGCAGCAUCCCUUAAUUCACUGAAUUCAGACGUGGAUUUCGAUUCUGAGCCCUAUCCUGGGACUCGGGACCAAAUCCUGAGGGAGAAAGAGAAGCUUGUGCACUGUGACAGACAGCCUCCCAGUGCGACUCAAGCUGAACACGCUGAAAAACCACCUUCAGCUGUGGACAAAGUUGCAGGGGACACCAGACUGAGACAUAACGAGGUGCCUGAAGCCGAACGCGACAGUGAAACGAGGCAGCAGCAACGCCUACGCGAGGCCUUGCCGUCGUCGGGGGCGACGGGAGACGGAACGCGGAGCGCGCUAACUGACGGGGCCGGCGCGGCGGUGGCUAGGCCUCGCUGCCGACGUGAGGAGACCUCCACCGCGAGGCCCCGCUCGUUAGAGAGAGCCCAGCGCGGGAACGAGGAAGAGGACGCGAUCAGAGGGAAGCUACCUGCUCACGGGGGGGGAGACUCUGACAGCUGCAUCGCCACCGAAGAGACGCGUUCGGCGAAACCCCCUCCGGAGGAGGAGCGUCGCCAGGCAGGUUGGCAGAAGGAGCAUACGGCUGCUAAUAACAGGAAAGCUGAUGGGAAUUCAGAUGGAGGUGCAGCUAUAGAGAGCUGCCCCAUGUGUCGCACACAGUUUCCUGCUGGAUUCACCCAACUGGACUGCGACAGUCACCUCGCCAAGUGCUUGUCGGAGAUGAACGAGGACAUUGUCUGGUAG
RNAcentral lists this long non-coding RNA (1394 nucleotides) under Lepisosteus oculatus (spotted gar). Its description in RNAcentral is "lncRNA (ENSLOCG00000022608.1)". Lineage: Eukaryota; Metazoa; Chordata; Actinopteri; Semionotiformes; Lepisosteidae. The record is from RNAcentral.